Molecule: non-coding RNA, 45 nt
Filed under: Schistosoma curassoni
Lineage: Eukaryota; Metazoa; Platyhelminthes; Trematoda; Strigeidida; Schistosomatidae
Source: RNAcentral
AUCCAGCUGAUGAGUCCCGAAUAGAACAAGACGCGCGUCCUGUAU